CAGCAGCAGCCACGGUAAUACGGAGGGAGCUAGCGUCGUUCGGAAUUACUGGGCGUAAAGCGCACGUAGGCGGCUUUGUAAGUCAGAGGUGAAAGCCUGGAGCUCAACUCCAGAACUGCCUUUGAGACUGCAUCGCUUGAAUCCAGGAGAGGUGAGUGGAAUUCCGAGUGUAGAGGUGAAAUUCGUAGAUAUUCGGAAGAACACCAGUGGCGAGGCGGCUCACUGGACUGGUAUUGACGCUGAGGUGCGAAAGCGUGGGGAGCAAAUGGGAUUAGAUACUCGCGUAGUCCCUGUCUCUUAUACA
RNAcentral lists this ribosomal RNA (304 nucleotides) under uncultured bacterium. RNAcentral's name for it is "partial 16S ribosomal RNA". It matches the Rfam family "Bacterial small subunit ribosomal RNA", at positions 506 to 808 of the family's 1533-position model. The record is from RNAcentral.